RNAcentral lists this ribosomal RNA (503 nucleotides) under uncultured bacterium. RNAcentral describes it as "partial 16S ribosomal RNA". It matches the Rfam family "Bacterial small subunit ribosomal RNA", at positions 30 to 523 of the family's 1533-position model. The record is from RNAcentral.
AUUGAACGCUGGCGGCAGGCUUAACACAUGCAAGUCGAGCGGGGUGAUGGUGCUUGCACUAUCACUUAGCGGCGGACGGGUGAGUAAUGCUUAGGAAUCUGCCUAUUAGUGGGGGACAAUAUCUCGAAAGGGAUGCUAAUACCGCAUACGUCCUACGGGAGAAAGCAGGGGAUCACUUGUGACCUUGCGCUAAUAGAUGAGCCUAAGUCGGAUUAGCUAGUUGGUGGGGUAAAGUCCUACCAAGGCGACGAUCUGUAGCGGGUCUGAGAGGAUGAUCCGCCACCCUGGGACUGAGACACGGCCCAGACUCCUACGGGAGGCAGCAGUGGGGAAUAUUGGACAAUGGGGGGAACCCUGAUCCGGCCAUGCCGCGUGUGUGAAGAAGGCCUUAUGGUUGUAAAGCACUUUAAGCGAGGAGGAGGCUCUUUUGGUUAAUACCCAAGAUGAGUGGACGUUACUCGCAGAAUAAGCACCGGCUAACUCUGUGCCAGCCGCCGCUGUAA